Molecule: ribosomal RNA, 443 nt
Filed under: uncultured bacterium
Lineage: Bacteria
Description: partial 16S ribosomal RNA
Rfam family: Bacterial small subunit ribosomal RNA
Source: RNAcentral
CCUACGGGUGGCAGCAGUGGGGAAUAUUGGGCAAUGGGCGCAAGCCUGACUCAGCAACGCCGCGUGAAGGAAGAAGGCUUUCGGGUUGGAAACUUCUUUUCUCAGGGACGAAGAAAGUGACGGUACCUGAGGAAUAAGCCACUGCUAACUACGUGCCAGCAGCCGCGGUAAUACGUAGGUGGCAAGCGUUAGCCGGAUUUACUGGGUGUAAAGGGCGUGUAGGCGGGACUGCAAGUCAGAUGUGAAAACCAUGGGCUCAACCUAUGGCCUGCAUUUGAAACUGUAGUUCUUGAGUACUGGAGAGGCAGACGGAAUUCCUGGGGUAGCGGUGAAAUGCGUAGAUAUUAGGAGGAACACCAGUGGCGAAGGCGGUCUGCUGGACAGCAACUGACGCUGAGGCGCGAAAGCGUGGGGAGCAAACAGGAUUAGAUACCCCUGUAGUC